Molecule: unclassified non-coding RNA, 296 nt
Organism: Mesocricetus auratus (golden hamster)
Lineage: Eukaryota; Metazoa; Chordata; Mammalia; Rodentia; Cricetidae
Gene: 7SK
Rfam family: 7SK RNA
About the family: 7SK was discovered as an abundant small nuclear RNA in the mid-70s but a possible function has only recently been suggested. Two independent studies have found that 7SK RNA binds the CDK9/cyclin T complex (known as elongation factor P-TEFb). P-TEFb activates transcription by phosphorylating the C-terminal domain of RNA polymerase II.
Source: Ensembl
GGAUGUGAGGUCGAUCUGGCUGCGACAUCUGUCACCCCACUGAUCACCAGGGUUGAUUCGGCUGAUCUGGCUGGCUAGGCGGGUGUUUCCUUCCUCCCUCACGGCUCCAUGUGCUUCCCUCCCGAAGCUGCACGCUCGGUCGAAGAGGACUACCUUCCCCGAAUAGAGGAGGACCGGUCUUCGGUCAAGUGUAUACGAGUAGCUGCGUUCCCCUGCUAGAACCUCCAAACAAGCUCUCAAAAAACAAAAAACAAAACAGCAACAACAAAAGCAAAGCAUGGAGUCUGCUUUGUCUU